GAGGGUGUAGCUCAGUGGUAGAGUGCAUGUUUAGCAUGCACAAGGUCCUGGGUUCAAUCCCCAGUAUCUCCA
This 72-nucleotide transfer RNA is filed under the name Camelus bactrianus (Bactrian camel). It matches the Rfam family "tRNA". From Rfam's summary of the family: Transfer RNA (tRNA) molecules are approximately 80 nucleotides in length. Their secondary structure includes four short double-helical elements and three loops (D, anti-codon, and T loops). Lineage: Eukaryota; Metazoa; Chordata; Mammalia; Artiodactyla; Camelidae. RNAcentral also lists the same sequence under 3 other names. The record is from Rfam by way of RNAcentral.